RNAcentral lists this ribosomal RNA (447 nucleotides) under uncultured bacterium. RNAcentral's name for it is "bacterial SSU rRNA". It matches the Rfam family "Bacterial small subunit ribosomal RNA", at positions 28 to 457 of the family's 1533-position model. The record is from RNAcentral.
GAUGAACGCUGGCGGCGUGCUUAACACAUGCAAGUCGAGCGAAGCGCUUUGGAAAGAUUCUUCGGAUGAUUUCCUUUGUGACUGAGCGGCGGACGGGUGAGUAACGCGUGGGUAACCUGCCUCAUACAGGGGGAUAACAGUUAGAAAUGACUGCUAAUACCGCAUAAGACCACGGUACCGCAUGGUACAGUGGCAAAAACUCCGGUGGUGUGAGAUGGACCCGCGUCUGAUUAGGUAGUUGGUGGGGUAACGGCCUACCAAGCCGACGAUCAGUAGCCGACCUGAGAGGGUGACCGGCCACAUUGGGACUGAGACACGGCCCAGACUCCUACGGGAGGCAGCAGUGGGGAAUAUUGCACAAUGGAGGAAACUCUGAUGCAGCGACGCCGCGUGAAGGAUGAAGUAUUUCGGUAUGUAAACUUCUAUCAGCAGGGAAGAAAAUGACGG